Molecule: ribosomal RNA, 213 nt
Filed under: uncultured fungus
Lineage: Eukaryota; Fungi
Description: partial small subunit ribosomal RNA
Rfam family: Eukaryotic small subunit ribosomal RNA (bases 91-213)
Source: RNAcentral
GGCCUGGGCGGGCGGUCUGCCGCAAGGUAUGUACUGUCUGCCUGGGUCUUACUUCUUGGUGAGCCGGCAUGCUCUUCACUGGGUGUGUCGGGGAACCAGGACUUUUACCUUGAGAAAAUUAGAGUGUUCAAAGCAGGCCUAUGCCCGAAUACAUUAGCAUGGAAUAAUAAAAUAGGACUUUGGUUCUAUUUUGUUGGUUUAAGGACCAAUGUC